RNAcentral lists this ribosomal RNA (253 nucleotides) under uncultured bacterium. RNAcentral describes it as "partial 16S ribosomal RNA". It matches the Rfam family "Bacterial small subunit ribosomal RNA", at positions 524 to 776 of the family's 1533-position model. The record is from RNAcentral.
UACGGAGGGUGCAAGCGUUAUCCGGAUUCACUGGGUUUAAAGGGUGCGUAGGUGGGUUGGUAAGUCAGUGGUGAAAUCUCCAGGCUUAACUUGGAAACUGCCAUUGAUACUAUCAAUCUUGAAUACCGUGGAGGUCAGCGGAAUAUGUCAUGUAGCGGUGAAAUGCUUAGAUAUGACAUAGAACACAAAUUGCGAAGGCAGCUGGCUACACGAAUAUUGACACUGAUGCACGAAAGCGUGGGGAUCAAACAGG